RNAcentral lists this ribosomal RNA (147 nucleotides) under uncultured bacterium. RNAcentral's name for it is "partial 16S ribosomal RNA". It matches the Rfam family "Bacterial small subunit ribosomal RNA", at positions 357 to 504 of the family's 1533-position model. The record is from RNAcentral.
GGGGAUAUUGCACAAUGGGGGAAACCCUGAUGCAGCGACGCCGCGUGAGUGAAGAAGUAUUUCGGUAUGUAAAGCUCUAUCAGCAGGGAAGAAAGGUGCCCCUUGGGCGCCUGGACCGUACCUGACUAAGAAGCCCCGGCUAACUAC